This 248-nucleotide unclassified non-coding RNA is filed under the name plant metagenome. RNAcentral's name for it is "partial contains small subunit ribosomal RNA, internal transcribed spacer 1, and 5.8S ribosomal RNA". The record is from RNAcentral.
UCUCCGUAGGUGAACCUGCGGAGGGAUCAUUACAGAGUUCAUGCCCUACCGGGUAGAUCUCCCACCCUAUGUUAUUAUUACUUUGUUGCUUUGGCGGGCCGUUAGGCUCCGGCCCGACUACCGGCCCCGGCUGGUAAGCGCCCGCCAGAGGACCCAAAACCCUGAAUAUUAGUGUCGUCUGAGUACUAUAUAAUAGUUAAAACUUUCAACAACGGAUCUCUUGGUACCGGCAUCGAUGAAGAACGCGC